This 504-nucleotide ribosomal RNA is filed under the name uncultured bacterium. RNAcentral describes it as "partial 16S ribosomal RNA". It matches the Rfam family "Bacterial small subunit ribosomal RNA", at positions 30 to 523 of the family's 1533-position model. The record is from RNAcentral.
AUUGAACGCUGGCGGCAGGCCUAACACAUGCAAGUCGAACGGUAGCACAGAGAGCUUGCUCUCGGGUGACGAGUGGCGGACGGGUGAGUAAUGUCUGGGAAACUGCCUGAUGGAGGGGGAUAACUACUGGAAACGGUAGCUAAUACCGCAUAAUGUCGCAAGACCGAAGAGGGGGACCUUCGGGCCUCUUGCCAUCAGAUGUGCCCAGAUGGGAUUAGCUAGUAGGUGGGGUAAUGGCUCACCUAGGCGACGAUCCCUAGCUGGUCUGAGAGGAUGACCAGCCACACUGGAACUGAGACACGGUCCAGACUCCUACGGGAGGCAGCAGUGGGGAAUAUUGCACAAUGGGCGCAAGCCUGAUGCAGCCAUGCCGCGUGUAUGAAGAAGGCCUCCGGGUUGUAAAGUACUUUCAGCGGGGAGGAAGGCGGUGAGGUUAAUAACCUCGCCGAUUGACGUUACCCGCAGAAGAAGCACCGGCUAACUCCGUGCCAGCAGCCGCGGUAA